UAGAUACCCUGGUAGUCCACGCCCUAAACUAUGUCAACUAGUUGUCGGGCCUUAUUAGGUUUGGUAACGUAGCUAACGCGUGAAGUUGACCGCCUGGGGAGUACGGUCGCAAGAUUAAAACUCAAAGGAAUUGACGGGGACCCGCACAAGCGGUGGAUUAUGUGGAUUAAUUCGAUGCAACGCGAAAAACCUUACCUACCCUUGACAUGUCAGAAAAUUUUCAGAGAUGAAUUUGUGCCCGAAAGGGAAUCUGAACACAGGUGCUGCAUGGCUGUCGUCAGCUCGUGUCGUGAGAUGUUGGGUUAAGUCCCGCAACGAGCGCAACCCUUGUCAUUAAUUGCCAUCAUUUAGUUGGGCACUUUUAAUGAGACUGCCGGUGACAAACCGGAGGAAGGUGGGGG
This 401-nucleotide ribosomal RNA is filed under the name uncultured bacterium. RNAcentral describes it as "bacterial SSU rRNA". It matches the Rfam family "Bacterial small subunit ribosomal RNA", at positions 779 to 1179 of the family's 1533-position model. The record is from RNAcentral.